This 406-nucleotide ribosomal RNA is filed under the name uncultured bacterium. Its description in RNAcentral is "partial 16S ribosomal RNA". It matches the Rfam family "Bacterial small subunit ribosomal RNA", at positions 29 to 526 of the family's 1533-position model. The record is from RNAcentral.
AUUGAACGCUGGCGGCAGGCCUAACACAUGCAAGUCGAACGAGUGGCGGACGGGUGAGUAAUGUCUGGGCAACUGCCCGAUGGAGGGGGAUCCCUACUGGAAACGGUAGCUAAUACCGCAUACCCUCGGCUUUGCCCAGAUGGGUUUAGCUAGUAGGUGGGGUACCGGCUCACCUAGGCGACGAUCCCUAGCUGGUCUGAGCGGAUGACAAGCCAAACUGGAACGGAGACACGGUCCAGACGCCUACGGGAGGAAGCAGUGGGGAAUAUUGCAAAAUGGGCGCAAGCCUGAUGCAGCCAUGCCGCGUGGAUGAAGAAGGCCUUCGGGUUGUAAAGUACUUGCAGCGAGGAGGCGUUACUCGCAGAAGAAGCACCGGCUAACGCCGGGCCAGCAGCCGCGGUAAUAC